Molecule: ribosomal RNA, 405 nt
Filed under: uncultured bacterium
Lineage: Bacteria
Description: partial 16S ribosomal RNA
Rfam family: Bacterial small subunit ribosomal RNA
Source: RNAcentral
AUUGAACGCUGGCGGCAGGCUUAACACAUGCAAGUCGAACGAGUGGCGGACGGGUGAGUAAUGCUUGGGAAUCUGGCUUAUGGAGGGGGAUAACGACGGGAAACUGUCGCUAAUACCGAGUACCAUAGGAUGAGCCCAAGUGGGAUUAGGUAGUUGUUGGGGUAAUGGCCUACCAAGCCGAAGAUCUCUAGCUGGUCUGAGAGGAUGACCAGCCCAACCGGGACUGAGGCACGGCCCGGACUCCUCGGGGAGGCACCGGAGUGUAAUAUUGCGCAAUGGGGGCAACCUGACGCAGCCAUGCCGCGUGAAUGAAGAAGGCCUUCGGGUUGUAAAGUUCUUUCGGUGACGAGGCGUUAAUCACAGAAGAAGCACCGGCUAACUCCGUGCCAGCAGCCGCGGUAAUUC